AAUAGUCCAGUGUUUCCCAACCACUGUGCUGUGGUACAUAAGUGUGCUGGAAGAUUAUCCAAUUUGACCUGAUUAGUACUGUAAGCGACCGGCAUGAUAUGUACGACUGUACACGCCAAUGAUCCAGUCUACAACAACAGUCUCCUGUUUACCUUUAUAAAAGUUAAAGGUGAAUGUGAACUGAC
Long non-coding RNA from Sphaeramia orbicularis (orbiculate cardinalfish), 185 nucleotides. RefSeq lists it as uncharacterized. The record is from RefSeq and is a predicted model, not a curated record. Lineage: Eukaryota; Metazoa; Chordata; Actinopteri; Kurtiformes; Apogonidae. The transcript has 4 exons.